GACGAACGCUGGCGGCGUGCUUAACACAUGCAAGUCGAACGGAAAGACCCUGCUUUUGUGGGGUGCUCGAGUGGCGAACGGGUGAGUAACACGUGAGUAACCUGCCCUUGACUUUGGGAUAACUUCAGGAAACUGGGGCUAAUACCGGAUAGGAGCUCCUGCUGCAUGGUGGGGGUUGGAAAGUUUCGGCGGUUGGGGAUGGACUCGCGGCUUAUCAGCUUGUUGGUGGGGUAGUGGCUUACCAAGGCUUUGACGGGUAGCCGGCCUGAGAGGGUGACCGGACACAUUGGGACGGAGAUGCGGCCCAGACUCCUACGGGAGGCAGCAGAGGGGAAUAUUGCACAAUGGGCUGAAGCCUGAUGCAGCAACGCCGCGUGCGGGAUGACGGCCUUCGAGUUGUAAACCGCUUUCGCCUGUGACGAAGCGUGAGUGACGGUAAUGGGUAAAGAAGCACCGGCUAACUACGUG
This 468-nucleotide ribosomal RNA is filed under the name uncultured bacterium. Its description in RNAcentral is "partial 16S ribosomal RNA". It matches the Rfam family "Bacterial small subunit ribosomal RNA", at positions 28 to 507 of the family's 1533-position model. The record is from RNAcentral.